This 658-nucleotide ribosomal RNA is filed under the name Polyfibrospongia flabellifera. RNAcentral describes it as "Carteriospongia flabellifera partial large subunit ribosomal RNA". Lineage: Eukaryota; Metazoa; Porifera; Demospongiae; Dictyoceratida; Thorectidae. The record is from RNAcentral.
ACACGGACCAAGGAGUGCAACAUGUGCGCGAGCCGCUUGGCAAGAAAACCAGAAGGCGCAAUGAAAGUGAAGGCACGGUCGCCGUGCUGAGGUGAGAGCUGUCGCCYGGCAGCGCAUCAUCGACCGAUCCCAUCCGCUCCCUCGUGGUGCGGCGGGAUUCGAGUAAGAGUGCAUCUGUUGCGACCCGAAAGAUGGUGAACUAUGCCUGAAUAGGGUGAAGCCAGAGGAAACUCUGGUGGAGGCCCGUAGCGAUUCUGACGUGCAAAUCGAUCGUCAAAUUUGGGUAUAGGGGCGAAAGACUAAUCGAACCAUCUAGUAGCUGGUUCCCUCCGAAGUUUCCCUCAGGAUAGCUGUAGCCCGAAGCAGUUUUAUCAGGUAAAGCGAAUGAUUAGAGGUAUCGGGGAAGAAACUUCCUCGACCUAUUCUCAAACUUUAAAUAGGUAAGAAGUCCGACUUGCUCAAUUUGAAGCCGGACACAGAAUGCUGGGUUACUAGUGGGCCAUUUUUGGUAAGCAGAACUGGCGAUGCGGGAUGAACCGAACGCCGAGUUAAGGUGCCAAAGUCGACGCUCAUCAGAUCCCACAAAAGGUGUUGGUUGAUAUAGACAGCAGGACGGUGGCCAUGGAAGUCGGAAUCCGCUAAGGAGUGUGUAACAACU